Molecule: ribosomal RNA, 301 nt
Filed under: uncultured bacterium
Lineage: Bacteria
Description: partial 16S ribosomal RNA
Rfam family: Bacterial small subunit ribosomal RNA
Source: RNAcentral
CAGCCGCCGCGGGAAUACAGAGGGUGCGAGCGUUAAUCGGAUUUACUGGGCGUAAAGCGUGCGUAGGCGGCUUCUUAAGUCGGAUGUGAAAUCCCUGAGCUUAACUUAGGAAUUGCAUUCGAUACUGGGAAGCUAGAGUAUGGGAGAGGAUGGUAGAAUUCCAGGUGUAGCGGUGAAAUGCGUAGUGAUCUGGAGGAAUACCGAUGGCGAAGGCAGCCAUCUGGCCUAAUACUGACGCUGAGGUACGAAAGCAUGGGGAGCAAACAGGAUUAGAGACCCCCGUAGUCCCUGUCUCUUAUAC